CCCCAAGAUGAGGUUUCGUAGGGUGUAUACCCGAAAGUCCCCUGGAAGACGACCAGGUUGAUAGGCCGGACGUGUACGUGCAGUAAUGCAUUUAGCUAACCGGUACUAACGGACGAAUGCUUGACCACUC
This 130-nucleotide ribosomal RNA is filed under the name Planctomycetota bacterium. RNAcentral describes it as "Planctomycetes bacterium partial 23S ribosomal RNA". It matches the Rfam family "Bacterial large subunit ribosomal RNA", at positions 2797 to 2925 of the family's 2925-position model. Lineage: Bacteria; Pseudomonadati; Planctomycetota. The record is from RNAcentral.